This 793-nucleotide ribosomal RNA is filed under the name uncultured bacterium. RNAcentral's name for it is "bacterial SSU rRNA". It matches the Rfam family "Bacterial small subunit ribosomal RNA", at positions 8 to 796 of the family's 1533-position model. The record is from RNAcentral.
AGAGUUUGAUCAUGGCUCAGAUUGAACGCUGGCGGCAGGCCUAACACAUGCAAGUCGAGCGGUAGAGAGAAGCUUGCUUCUCUUGAGAGCGGCGGACGGGUGAGUAAUGCCUAGGAAUCUGCCUAGUGGUGGGGGAUAACGUUCGGAAACGGACGCUAAUACCGCAUACGUCCUACGGGAGAAAGCGGGGGAUCUUCGGACCUCGCGCCAUUAGAUGAGCCUAGGUCGGAUUAGCUAGUUGGUGAGGUAAUGGCUCACCAAGGCGACGAUCCGUAACUGGUCUGAGAGGAUGAUCAGUCACACUGGAACUGAGACACGGUCCAGACUCCUACGGGAGGCAGCAGUGGGGAAUAUUGGACAAUGGGCGAAAGCCUGAUCCAGCCAUGCCGCGUGUGUGAAGAAGGUCUUCGGAUUGUAAAGCACUUUAAGUUGGGAGGAAGGGUAGUAACCUAAUACGUUGCUACUUUGACGUUACCGACAGAAUAAGCACCGGCUAACUUCGUGCCAGCAGCCGCGGUAAUACGAAGGGUGCAAGCGUUAAUCGGAAUUACUGGGCGUAAAGCGCGCGUAGGUGGUUCAGUAAGUUGGAAGUGAAAUCCCCGGGCUCAACCUGGGAACUGCUUUCAAAACUGCUGAGCUAGAGUACGGUAGAGGGUGGUGGAAUUUCCUGUGUAGCGGUGAAAUGCGUAGAUAUAGGAAGGAACACCAGUGGCGAAGGCGACCACCUGGGCCUGCACUGACGCUCAUGCACGAAAGCGUGGGGAGCAAACAGGAUUAGAUACCCUGGUAGUCC